Molecule: ribosomal RNA, 920 nt
Filed under: uncultured Methanococcoides sp.
Lineage: Archaea; Methanobacteriati; Methanobacteriota; Methanomicrobia; Methanosarcinales; Methanosarcinaceae
Description: bacterial SSU rRNA
Rfam family: Archaeal small subunit ribosomal RNA
Source: RNAcentral
UUCCGGUUGAUCCUGCCGGAGGUCACUGCUAUCAGUGUUCAGACUAAGCCAUGCAAGUCAAAUGUUCUUCGUGAACAUGGCGGACUGCUCAGUAACACGUGGAUAACCUGCCCUUAGGAUUGGCAUAACACCGGGAAACUGGUGAUAAUACCGAAUAGACCAUUUAUGCUGGAAUGCUUUUUGGUUAAAAGGCUUCGGCUGCCUAAGGAUGGAUCUGCGGCCUAUCAGGUAGUAGUGGGUGUAAUGUAUCUACUAGCCUACGACGGGUACGGGUUGUGAGAGCAAGAGCCCGGAGAUGGAUUCUGAGACAUGAAUCCAGGCCCUACGGGGCGCAGCAGGCGCGAAAACUUUACAAUGCGGGAAACCGCGAUAAGGGGACACUGAGUGCCAGCAUAUUAUGUUGGCUGUCCACAUGUUUAAAAAUCAUGUGUUAGCAAGGGCCGGGCAAGACCGGUGCCAGCCGCCGCGGUAACACCGGCGGCCCGAGUGGUGAUCACUUUUAUUGGGUCUAAAGGGUCCGUAGCCGGUUUAAUCAGUCUUCCGGGAAAUCUGACAGCUCAACUGUUAGGCUUUCGGGGGAUACUGUUAGACUUGGGACCGGGAGAGGUAAGAGGUACUACAGGGGUAGGAGUGAAAUCUUGUAAUCCCUGUGGGACCACCAGUGGCGAAGGCGUCUUACCAGAACGGGUCCGACGGUGAGGGACGAAAGCUGGGGGCACGAACCGGAUUAGAUACCCGGGUAGUCCCAGCCGUAAACGAUGUUCGCUAGGUGUCAGGGACGGUGCGACCGUUUCUGGUGCCGUAGGGAAGCCGUGAAGCGAACCACCUGGGAAGUACGGCCGCAAGGCUGAAACUUAAAGGAAUUGGCGGGGGAGCACUACAACGGGUGGAGCCUGCGGUUUAAUUGAUUCAACGCCGGA